AGUUUAUGGCUGCUAUUCAACUUUGUAGUUAUUUUGCCUUUUAAACUCUUUUGAUUCAGUGUCAGUGAUGAGUCCAUUGUAAACGAAACUCGCGUCUGGCGUUCAAAAUCCUAAUCCUGGUACCUCUGAUGAGUUUAUUUAGACCUAACGACACACCACUUGACAGAAAUGUAUAAAAAGUACCUGCAGAUAUUUAGAGGAUAUAUUCUCUGUACACAAACCAUAUUUGUACCUAAUAUUCAGAAAGUAUUAAAAAGAAGAAUGUUUUAGAUAUCUGAUGAAAAAUUAAAUUGAUGUGACAAGCAAAAAGUGUAAAAAUAUAAUUUAGCAUAAAAUCGUUAAAAUGUUUCGCUUCGCUAUGGUUUGCAUUAUAAGUACAAUAAUUGACACAUGUGCCUAACCCCUUCCUCGAACUCUAGAUCAGCACCUGCAGAAGGUUCGAGAUACAAAAAAAGUCAGGAGAUUUUGAGCAUAUAACAAAACAAAUAUAUGAGGUGCUCAUUAUAUGCAUUUGCCACAAACAUCCGUCUAUGGUUUAAAAACCAAAUCCAAUUCAUAUAUUGAUGCAUGCCAAAAUCCCUACCCAUUUUUAUACUUCAUAGGAAAAUCACAACCUUUUAUAUAUUUCCCAGUAAUUAGACAUACAAUUGGUGACAUCUAAAUUACAUAUUAACAACACAGGAUCAUUCAUACUUACAAGGUUCCAUCGAAUGAAUGUCCCAGUGCUGUUUGAAUGCUUUCAAAGAAGAUACCAAUCCCGACUGGUUACAAAUGUAGCCCUCUCGUCUGAUACGUUACACUCUAGGGCUUUAAAAGGAAAAGAUCUAAAAUAAAUUGAUCAUGUUGAUCCCCUUAUUUUUUCAGAAUUGUCAUUUAUAAUAGGAGAUAAUGUACCAUACCAAUAGGGCCUUAGCUACCUUUCUAGCCAACGUAAUUUGAUGUCAGUUGUCACAAACUUUAUUCCUACAAGGAACAUUUUUUUGUUCUCCAUUGUAUUCUAUUUAAUUCCAGUAAGCUGUACACAUACAAAAUAUGUAUUGGCGUAGUUUUUCUUUCACAUUCGAAAAGUAGAGUCGAAAUCUUUCCAUUUCAUGCCUGAUUAUGUAAUUAUAUAAUUAAUAUAUAUCGAACACUAUAUAUAUAUUAGUUGUAUUAAUUAUUGGUAAUGAAUAAUUUGUUUUCAGUCGAGUCUAUAUUAUUUAAUUGUUUUUCCCAAAGUCAGUGAUCCGCUUAAUAACUGUGUAAUACUUCUAUAGUUUUAAUUGUAAUGAGUUGUAAUACAAAAUAGAACACCACACUAAAAACACUUGCAUGCAUAUUAGAGGGAAUGGAUACAAGCAAUGUAAUAAGCGGCUCUGAAGAUAGCGAAAUACAGAAAACCCAAUCUGAGGAUAAGGGAGAGACGAUUACCUCAAAUAAGCGGAGAAAUUCACGAUCACCGUCACUGACAGAUGAACCAGUUAUAAAGAAAAUCAAAACUGAUUGUGAUAAAUCUGAGGCUGCUGAAGAGAACAACGAGGAAAAUAUAACACAACCUGUGAAAAGGAGAAAAGAAGCGGUAAAGCUUCCAAAGUUGUACCGAUUACUUCAUGAGGAUGAAGAUGUAACCGAGGAAUUAACAGCAAGAUCACCGGAUGCGACGACUGACGUCGCUACCUAUGUUGCAACCGGAAGUCAAAAAGGAAGAUACUCUAGGUAUAUUUCAACAUGUGCGUCACUUGCGAACGCAGAAAAAAUAAGAAAUUUAAAGCUUAAAAGUGGACUUUAAUGGGGUAUGAAGCACAUUGCUGAAAUCGACGUUGGUAGUUUAUCAGAUGAUGUAGAAAUAAUUGAUUUGCGAACAAAAAUGUUGAGAAGAAAAUACGAAAUAAGUGACAUUGAGACAAAUGAAAAAUUCCACAAAUAUGCACGAAGUCACCAGGAAGUUUUAUUGGUUGGUACAGUACCAAAAGAAUGUUGGAAGUUACUAGAAUUCGAUGGCGAUGUUCCAUCAUCGGAUAGUGAUUAUAAUUAAUUUGAAACAUAUAAUUUGCGUUGGUAUUCAUUUCGAUAAGGAAUAAUGUUUAAUAAUAUGAACUUUUAUAAAACAAAAAUAUAACGGAUGUGAGCUUCAUCUUCAUUACAAUUCUUCCAAAUCAAACUAAAACAUUUGAAAGAAAAUCCCCUAGAAGAUAUCUUAAAAAGUGACAUGAACUGUAAUAUUUCUUGUAAGUGCUUAAAGCUGAUACAAAAAAAAAAUAACUGAUCUGUGUUGUCCAGUUUUGAUUGUUUGUUGAUAAUUUGCAAAGAGAUUUCUGUGAACAUUUGCAAGACCCAGUAAUAAAAUAAGGACAGUUAUUCAAUUCGGGUAUCCAGUAGUGCAAAGAACGAUCCAGGUUUUAAUUUUUGAUUGAAAUUUCAAGGAAACGUAAAUAAAACUUAUGGCUGCCGAAGAUUUACGCAAAUUAUAAUUCCUUUCCCAUAAAGUUUUAAUUAAAUAAUAUGUAUUUAUUUCUAUUCCCUCUUUCUGUAACAUUCCUGUCUAUACACACAGGGAAACUAUAGAUGUUUUACAUGUACUUUGGUUAUAUAUAAACAAUACCUAAUAAUGCAAAUGUAUCUACAUUAAAUGUCUUACAAUUAAUAA
This is an RNA transcript of Mytilus californianus (California mussel), 2626 nucleotides long. RefSeq lists it as uncharacterized. The transcript is spliced from 4 exons. The record is from RefSeq and is a predicted model, not a curated record. NCBI's taxonomy places the organism in Eukaryota, Metazoa, Mollusca, Bivalvia, Mytilida, Mytilidae.